UCUGAUGGGCCUCGACUAGCUUGUCGUCGAUGUACUAUAUCUGAUUUAGUAUAUGAGAAAAAAACAUAGUCAUACCAUAGAGAUGUAGUCAAAUAUCGGUGAAUCGCAGUAACAAAUCUUAUUAUUGUGAUGUGAUUAUUGCUUGUCUUCCAGGAUCAACGUGCGUAUUGGUUUUCUAAUCACUAUCAAUUAUAGCAUGAAAAAUGACCAUGUGAGACAUGUAUGUAUUGUUCGAGACUAUUUUUUUAAUGAGAAAAAUCACCAUUUCUCUUGCGAAUAUUCAAUUUUGAGCCCGGACUUGUCUGCAUCCGGGAACGGUAAACAAAAUAAAUACUAAAAAAAUCAAAAAAAAAUCUGUCUUUCACAUGGAAAAUGUUUGUGUGCGUGAGAUCCGUGUCAAUUUACAGCGCGUUCGGACAUCUGGGUAGCUCUCAGUAAGAAAAACAAAAUUGGUCCAAACAGUGCAUAAACAGAAAACUUUUUCAUAGACCCUAAAUUUGUCUUUUAUUUUAUUUUAUUGUUCAUGGGUAGGAGCAGAUGACAAGAGCCAUUUGGCAUCUCUACUUCUCUUGUUUCUUCUCAAAAAAGAAGAGAGAAGCAGGUUGAUCCUUUUGAUUAACCCUUCUCUUUAUCACCGAUGAUUGCUGUUUUAGUGUGUUGGUUCUAUGUGGCUUUAGCACGAUGACUUUUCAACUGUAUACUAUAAUAAGAUUUGCCCGGUUCCAGUAAGGAAGGGGCAAUGACGGUUGCACAUCUUCGGCUCGCUUCAGUGCUUGAAGUCGUCGCUAGGUGGUCUACAAAUCUUAAUGUAGUUUUUAGUAAUUCUUGCGUUCGUUGUACUGCCAUGAUUAAAAAUGAACAGAUCGUUAGUUUUCCAAAAAAAAAAAAACAACGAGUCACCUCUUUCUAGACAUUCGACAUCACGUGCAACGUAUAUCCACUUUUGGGCUUGCUUUUCUAUUUUAAGUAGGAAAAGAGACCAUGUGAGUCAUGCACAUAUCCAUAGAUUAUCUAUCUUAAUGAAAAGGCAGCUCUUUAGUAAUUCUUAAGGCAUUUUCAACGGUGACCCGCAAAUCGCCCGUAUUCGUUCGGACCAUGUUGUCCAGACGUGUUGCGUCAUCUAACGCGGGUCUAUAUCGGUUCGCCGGGCAGCCGGGACGCCCCGCACACCGGAGAUAAACAUAAUGGGCUUUGCGGGCGUCCGAACCGCUCCCAAGCCCCUGUCUGACCGCCCUGGUCCACCAAAAAUCCCCCACCCGCCUCUCCCCCGCUUUCCAUCGAACGCCCGCGCCGUUUGACGCGCCGCAUUCAUGCCGGCCCAGAGCAUGCAUCGACCGACAUUGAUGUCGCGAUUUGCCCGGAUGGUAGGGCAGCCCUAACGAACGUGACCUCUCGGGCGUUGACGACUCAAUGUGGACGUCGCGUCCCAAGGAACCAACUCCGGUCACUGUGCAACAUUGAAGCGGGCUGAUCACCUCUUCGCCUGGCCUGGCCUGCCGCGGCUAUUUAAGUCAUGCUUCAGCGACGCACAGAGCCGCACUCCCCCUCCCAAGCAUCGCCCUCUCCCCUCCCCCGUCUUCGUUCCCAAGCCCCUCGUCCUCUCCGAGCCCAGCGGCGGCGCUGCCGAAGUCUUGGUGCUCUGCGCCGGCAGGCGGAGUUGGUGGAAGCUCCUCCUCUGGCGGUUCUUGGCGCCACCUCCCACGCUCUCUGGGCCCGUCGGCGUCCACGGUGGCCUACUCCUAUGCCAAGGAGGAGAUCGUCAUAUCUUCCCGUGGCGAGGAGGACCAGGCGCCGCCGCAGCAGCUGUCGCAGCAUCCGUCCCGACUCCUCAACGAGGCCGCUUUGACAGACGAAGAUUCUGUCCGUCAGAUCGAGAUAUUGACGGAGCGGCCGCGCCGUCACAUGGAUCCGUCGUCACCAUUGCCGGCGCGCAUCAAGGAGGAGCCGUUGUCCCCACCGCGUGAAGCGCGAGCCUCCUCCCCCUGCCUCCCGCUCCGGCUUGUGAAGGACGAGCCGGCCUUGCCCAGCACAAUCGCGACGUCUAGAUCGGAUGCCUCGUGAAGGACGAGUCGUCGUCACCACCGCACCAUCAUGACGUCCAGAUCGGACACGGGUCAAGGAGGAGCCGACAUCUCCGCCGCGCAACCGCUAUGGCCUCAUGGACGCGCCAUCGUCGCCUCGCCGUCAAGGAGGAGCUGCCGCUCGCGAUCAAGAAGUUGCGGGGACGCCUUCUCCACUACCUCGAAGGAGGCGGUUACGGCGGCGCCUCGGGCUCGAGGACCGUCGUAUCCGAGGCGGAGCACGCGGUGAGGCAACAUGCGAGGUACGACCGGCACAAUGCCAGUCGCCGCUACGUGUUCGCCAAGAGCGACAUGGUGUCGGACUGGGUCCACAACGACCCUGACGUCGCUGCCGCGUGGGCGCUCGACCACUGCGUGACCACCGCGGAGACGGCCGCCAGGUGCCGCCGCCGCCUUGAUGGCGAGCUCGCCAAGAUCGCUGAGGAGUGAUAUCUUAGCGACUGGUCCACCAACGCCGGUCGCAGCAAGGCUGUCGCCAGAGCUCUGAAGGCCACGUCGGCAGUGGCCACGGCGACACCGCACGGCGCAGCGGCUCCUAUGCGAGCUGUAGGCAGCCGCAAGCGCUGGAGGGACCACGACAGCGGCACCGACGGCGGCGGCGGUGCGGCAGGGCAGGCCGGUCACGCGUAUGAGGUGGUCGUCCGGUAUAGCUUUUAGGUCCUUUCUAGUUUUUUUUUGUUAAACGGUCGAAGUAUCAACCUUUUAUGUAAACUAGAUGACUCGUUGCACCAAUGGCGCAAAGGCCGUGAGGGAGCCAAGUAUUGUAAGAAUAUUUAGACACUCAAGUUGAAAACCAAAUAUUGCCAACACUCCCGCAUCCUCUACUUGGAAGCCGCCUUUUCUCACCGGAUCUAACAUAGAUACAUAAUUCUUUAAGAGCAAAUUUCAGAGAAAAUAUAAGGCAUGGAAGGCUUUAAGUUUUACUAUUAAGACCAUAUCACUAUAUCUUCAUUUAGUUUAUUUGCAAAUCUGAAGAUCUAAGAGGACGGUACAUGUGAGAAGCUGUGAAUCCACAACCAAAAAACUACACUAACUUCCAAACAAACAUUUCAAGUUUGGAAGCCACAAAGAAGCUGCCCAGAUCUCUCGUUGUAGUGCAGGUUCAAGAAAAUGGGCUGAAUGGCCAUCAUAGCAACAUGUAGAAGCAGCAAAAAUAUAGGCUUGGUGUGUAACUGAUCAUGAAAGAUAGCUUGGUCAGUUUCUUCAUUGUUGGCUUAUACUGAGAAAGAACAUCAGCCUGCAGAGAAGAAAAAUGGAGGACUGCUUUAUUCUGCGGUACAUCCACAAUAGUACAACAAAUAAAGUAGUUAAAUGUGCGCUAAGAUGUGUAAGACCUUUUAGAUCACUAUUUUAGUGAUCUAAAAGGUAAGUAGUGAUCUAAAAGGUCUUGUAUUAGUUUGAAGAGGGAGUACUUAAUAAGACUGUAGGCCAGUACAUCAAAGUAAUGCUGGCUUCCCAUUGAUUUGAUCAAGCCAAUAUGACAAAGGGAAGGUGAAACUUCAGAAGACUACUAUAUAAAUUGACUGCGAUGUCUUAAUUUAAAACUCUGAAAUGAAGUAAUAAACAUUAAGUCUGAAGGUUGUCACUAAAAAAGCAUAAAAAAAGGCAGACCAGCCAGCAGUGCAUCAUAAUUAAUGGUUCAUCAUGCGCAAACCAGGCAGCAGUAGCCUAAUAACUUAGAUGGAAAAAAUGCAAAAGUCAAAGCACAAGGUGGGAAAUAGGACCGAGCAUUGACAGGUAACCAAAUAAUGAAGGAAUAUCCCCAUGAAAAUCAAGAACGGUAAAUUAGCAUCCAGAAGUACAUAGAAACAAACAGUCCGCUUGGCAGAGUGUGAUCUCAGUAUGAUGUCAAUAGCUGGGACUAAGAAGGUAACCACGUAGAGUGUCACUCCUAAGGGCGUUUUCUUACGUCUCUACUCUCUAGUAAUACAACUCACUAUUGAUUGAUUUAACUAAGGUAUUCUUCAGCUGGGUAUUUAUAAAGGAAAUUCACUAUGCAUUUUUACCAGCGAGUAGAGAGCAACUGGAAGACUUAUGUUUUUAAAUGCAAGAACAAACCUCACCGGGCUGCUGUGCAGACUUAUUGUCAGUAGAAGAUGCUACAGCUGAGCAAAAUUGGCUUGCGAUUUCUUCUAUGCCUGCUGCUCCCUCCUGCAGCAAUUAUUUAGAACAACAAAACAAUUUAAUGUGAGAUGAGAGAAGGCACACUAAAGAAGCACAUCCGUAAGUGUAUAUCUAAUAAUAUAGAUGCUACAAAUCAAUAGAACUAAAAUACUCCAGCAAUUGGGAUCAGCUAGAUCUAUGUCUACAUCACCAAAUCAGAAGUUUAGUUACCUGUGGUUCGCUUGAUAGCAGUUGCAGGUUUUCAUGCGCUGAAGUCAAGAACCGACCAGCAGCGACCAAAUCUGAGCACAACCGUCCCUCACAAUUUGAAUUCUACCCCAGCAAGUACAGACAUGUCCUCUGCAACCUCACACAGAUUCGAAAGCGUCAUAAAGCACACCGCACUACGCCGCCACCACGACCUCCAAAACAUGUAUAACGACUGAAAUAAGCGGACACAUUCUGCUCACACACAAGCAUGACAUAUAAGCAGGAUGAGGACGAACAAUACACGAUGGCGUGCCGGAUCCAGAAAAUUAAAAUGAUCAGCAAUUUAAACACCAUGACAACAGGUACAGAAAAGGAAAUAUGCAUUUUAGCUAGACAGAAAGCAAGCAAACCUCGAUGACAUAACAGAGAUGCAACAAAGCAGAAGAUCGCGAUGCAGCAACACAAGAGAUCGCAGAACCUAAUAAAUAAAUGGACAUGAAGUGGUCAGUGCACCGACAUGCUAUGGAAUAGACAGGUAAAAGAAGAGUCGUUCCCAAACAAAUUAAAGAAUGGUCCAUUUACCUGAGUUAGAGAGGAGAAGCAGGCAAGCAGAGCAGCCAAGAUGGAUGAGCAUACCAAGGACGAGCGGACGGCAAAACCAAACGCAAAAUCAGAAACCAAAUAGAGAUCAAUUUUCAGCUGAACCAGUAGAUUCACUCCUUCAGAUAUGCAUCCUAAUUGGUCCUACAAAGAUCACAAGAAAUUAGAGGAUGGAACUUGACUGCCUUCUAUAUCAUUUGAAGGACAAAAGAAGCUAGAAAAAUUACGAUGAACCACUAACCCCUGCUAAAACUAACUAUCAUUGCCCUGUGAUAUAUGGAUAAUAUUAGAAAGUAGAGAAAAGCACCUGCCAAUUUUACUUCUUCGUGCGAAAGCUGCCAGCUAUGCGCAUUAGUGAUUUCUCACGUGUUCUGCAUAAAGAAAACAUAUACAUAUAAGUAUAUAAUAUCACCAUUAGUGCUUAUGUAAGGCACUGUUCUGUUUACCAAUUGGACUGUAAGGCAAUAAAGGUCAUUCUCUGAACCUUCAUGCAAAUAAUUAAUCAUCCUAAAUGGAAGUAGCUGACUAACAAUAGAGCUUUCUCCUCAUAUCCCUAAAGAAGUGAAAAACAAGCAAAUGGUUGUCAUCUUUUUCUUACCGAAUUCAGCAUCUCCAACCUUAGGUAUAGAUCAUGCCAUUGGUCCACAUAGCAAAGAUCAAUCAUAUCACUUGUCGAAAUGAUGCAGCCGCUGCAAACAAUAGAGCUCUCUCCUCAUACCCCUAAAGAAGUGAAAAACAAGCAAAUCAAAUUUUCAGUAUAGAAGCACACUCACAUAAGCAAACCAGAGGCAAUAUGCACCAUGGCUUGAUCAGAAUGCAAGGAAACAAGAGGAGAAGAGAAAGGCCACAACCUACAAGCUAGAGAAGCAGAGCAUGUCGUUGAGGCGAGGAAGGAGAGAAAUCUGAAUUGCCACGUCGCAUCGUCUCGGAAGGCGAAUCUAAAUCAUCAAGUCGCGUCGUCUUGGAAGGCGAUAACCACAGACACACCCUCUUCCACCGCCGAUUCGUCGCCCUCUUCUUCGGGCAGCCCCCGCGGCUUCCAGCUUCCGUCAUGAUCCAGGAUGCCCGAUUCGCUCCUAGGCCAUGAGCCCAUGAGCAUGCUCUUAAUCCAUGCCACGGUCGUCGUCGCGCCGUGCCUCCGUCCUCCUCGAUCUGUUGCUUGCUUGGAUAGGUUGUGGUGGUAGCGAGGAUGUCUAAAUAAUCAGCACACGACAAAAACAAAUCUCAAAGAAAAUGGAUGUUCGAGACAAAACUAAACCGGCUGUAGGAAACAAUGGCUAAUCGGUCAAAGGAGAUAUGUGUUGCAAUUGGCGUCAGGAAGGGGACUCGACACUAUUGGAGAUGAUGGCAAGAGAAAAAACAGUGAGCUGCACCAUCAGGAUCAGGGUUAGAUGCAAGAAUCAAUUUUUUUGCUAUGGAGACAAAAAUGAGCAAUGAUUACAGAAAACAAGCAGCAGCAACUUCAUAAAGGCUACGAACUCAUCAUGGAAACCUGCCCAGCGCAAGUUUAACAAAUUUUGUAGUAUAUACAGCUAGGUCUAAUUUUAAUUAAGAAUGAACACAAACACAUAUAUAAUCUGGCAAUUAGUACAAGUGGAAUGCAGAUCCGGAGAAGAAAAGGUUUAACUAAUUAGUGUAUACUCAGAUGUAGAAAAGGAUAAAACAUCUAUAAUUCAGGAUUUAAUUAAAGAUCUAGCUGAAUUUAGACAUAUAUCAUAACUUCAUAAGUUCAUAAUAUAUGUAAGGUCUAAAAGCUUGAAAUUUAUGUUCUGGACAUUUUGGCAUUUGCAGAAUAAAGGUGAGGCGAACAGUCGAUCUUGGCAUAUUGAUAGAAAAAUUAUAGCCUUAACAGAAAUUACCUAGCAUAAUGCGACGGCCUCCGUGGUUUCAAAAUGAAUGACUACAAGAACAUGUAAUGUUAGAAAAGAAUUAUAAACAUCGGAAUCGCAUCAUUGUGAUACUAUCUACAGGAAGAAACUGGCAAACCAUCUAAUUAAAUGGGAGGAGAUUGUCAUUGACUAUGUCCCCUCCAUUGAGGUGGUUCAUAAAACUCACUGCUGCAAUGACUGCAAUAUGCUGAGCACUGAAACUCUCCUUGCAGAAGAACUGGUCAAGGACUGGAGCCAACCUACAAUCCAGCUGAACGAAGAACCUAGCAGCAUGUUAUAGACGGAAUCAGUGGGCAAUAAGGAAACAAAAAUUAAUCAAGAGAAGAUGCAUAAAAACAACAAGCAGAUAACCCACAGAGCAAGCAUGCAUAUGCCCAUCAUCCAUAUAAUUAGGCACGAGCAACCAUUGGGUGGCACAUACAUAAAAAAUGAGCAGGUGGUAAUUUCAUUAUGAAGCACGCAGAUUAAAUAUUAGCGUAAGUAGACGGCCUUGCCUUCAUCACGAAGCAGCAACCACUACCCACUGCACACAUACUUUCCAAAGCACUAACGCAAAUAGUCACCAUGCCUACCAAUCAGUAAGCAGCAAUCAUAUUGGUUCCACCCAAGAACCAACCUAAAUUGGCACUGCAGGGCACUGAAAACCGACGACAGCACACAAGCAUGCACACAAACCAAAAUGUACAAAUAUCUUCUCCAAUAAGCAGGGAGGAAGCGAACCACCAGGGCAACUGUGAGCAAACAAAGUCGCACCUUCUUGCAAUAGAAAGAACCAACGAAGUAAGGGGGCAUAUAAGAGCACAUCUCACCUUGCAGUUUGACAGAACCAACAGCGAGGGAUCGAGCAAAUCACCUGGACAGGCAAGGAAACCAAAAAAAAUACAAUGAUUUAGCCCACAGACAUUUUAUUAAACAUUACAAGAGCAAGAAAAUAUCUAAGCCUGCAGAUUGAUGGAAUCGACGGCGAGCGAUUGAGCAAAGCACAUGGACAGGCAUGGAAACCAAGAAAAUGAUUUAGCCCACAACCAUUUUAUUGAUCAGGACAAGAGCAAGAAAUGUCUAACCUUGCAUAUUGACAGAACCGACGGUGAGUGGUCGAGCAAACCACCUGGACAGGCAAGGAAACAAAAAAAACAAUGUUUAGCCCACAGCCAUUUUAUCGAACAGGAUAAGAGCAAGAAAAAUUGUAACCUUGCAGGUUGACAGAACCGAUGCUGAGCAACUCCAGGCCUCUUCCCAUCCCCUUUGUUGUUCCAUACAGGAGCAGUAGUGAGAUGUUGGAGGGAAAGAAAUGGAGAAAAUGAGAUAUGGGGAGAGGGCUCUCACCGCCUCCACCUCCAGCUCGCCCGUAGGGCGUCCUCCCCUGCCUCUAGCCUGAGCACCUCCAUCCCGUGAGCGCUCCAGCCCUUGAAUCCGUCAUCCCGUGAGCGCUCCAGCCCGAGCUCCGCCAUCUCUGCCUCGAGCUCUGACAUCACCGCCACCCGAUCCACCCCGUCGCCCCUCUGGCCAUCGAGAGGGUCAGGGAAGAGAGAGAGAGAGAGAGAGAGAGAGAGNNNNNNNNNNUCCACAUAGGCUCGGAGCAUAGUUCAGACUAAAAGCUACAGCCUCACAGGAGCUUAUGUAACCUACAGAAGAGCCAGCCUCUUGGGGUGUAAAGGCUGAGAGAAAGCAAGAAAGGAGAAAGGUAGGCUGAUGCAUGCAAGGGAAGAGAGAGAGAGAGAGAGAGAGAGAGAGAGAGAGAGAGAGAGAGAGAGAGAGAGAGAGAGCAAAGAAAACAGUAUGCAUGUGAGGAGAGAUGAGUGGCUAUAGAGUGUAGCCUCUAAGGCUCGGUUGGCAGAAAUUGCCGCAAGCGCCGCCCUGUCCUGGCUGAAUGUCCCGCCUCCCUCGAUGGCGUCCCACACGCGUUGGGNNNNNNNNNNNNNNNNNNNNNNNNNNNNNNNNNNNNNNNNNNNNNNNNNNNNNNNNNNNNNNNNNNNNNNNNNNNNNNNNNNNNNNNNNNNNNNNNNNNNNNNNNNNNNNNNNNNNNNNNNNNNNNNNNNNAGAGAGAGAGAGAGAGAGAGAGAGAGAGAGAGAGAGAGAGAGAGAGAGAGGGAACUGAGGGAAGAGGGGAUCACCUGCGUGUGAAGAGGGGGUUGGCCUCGCCGCUCCAGAUCGGGAACCUCUGGGAGGAGGCCAGGAGAGGUGGCGGCCUCCCGGUCGCUCACUGGCACUCGCUGUCGGCCGCAUGAAUCGUCGAUGGCGAGGGUGCGAUGGCCAGCAGCAGCAGGGAGGAGAUGGGAGAGGAGGCGGAGAUGGGUGGCACAGGGAGAGGCGCGGAGGAUGCGGGGGAGGCGGCUGCGGAGCGAGGCGCGGGGGGAGGCGGCUGCGGGAUUGGCUCGUGGGUGUAGGGUUUCUUUUUCCACAUCGCGAUUGGCGAGCAUGACACCCACAAUCCAUUGGCCACAGCCCACAACCGACCCGCCCUUGCUUUUCAUCGACAGAAACAAGCAACAAGCGUGUCGCUGCAAGCCUGCCCCACGCGCAAGCGUGGCCCACUCGUCAGCUGCUUCUGGGCCGAUCACGGGGCGUACAGAAAAACGAGUGGCGGGAUACUUACCAGGUCGACGAAAAUCACUAUUACCGCGCCAGCGAGGUGAAGCGUGCGCGCGGGAUCAUUUUGAAAUCGCGAUGGCGCUGGAUCGGCAGGUACUCUAGGAGGCUUUAUAUGUUAGACUAGGGCCGGAGUGAUGAAGCGCUUCAUUGUGUCUCAGGUGCGACCAUUUUCACACUUGACAAACUUCAUUCAGGAAAAAAAAACAUCCAAAAAAGAGCAGGCAAAACUUUAUAUUCCUAUUCCACAAGAAUUUGUUCACUUACAAUCAUGUUCAACAUAUUUGUGAAUAUCACCAAAAAGGAAGUCUACAUACGGGAACAACAUACACUAAGUGAAAAGAUUGGACACCUAAAAUUUAUAUGCCUUGCAAAGCCAUGAACUCAUUUGUACACUACAUUUCUCGCUGUUCCUCGAGAUAAAGUGGAAUUGAGAAGGCUUAGACAUACUGACAUGGUUGUAAUUUCACAUCCCAGUGACUAUCAAUCGAUAUUCAUCAAUACUCCGUACUUUAUAAGCCAAUCUUGCAAAGAGAUGGAUGGAAACAUAUACCUGCAGUUUCACAAAAGCCACAAUGGACAUUCUAUUAAACGAUAAAUGUAUCUGGCACACCGGAUGUUUUUUGCAAAACUGCCGAACGACCUGAGCGUCGUCAGAUCUCGAUCGCUUGGCUCCUUUCCCCUUUGCUCGUCCUCCUCCCUGCAUCGCCGCGGGAAUAAUAAGUUACGAUAACUGCGCAUGGCCGUCUGUUGUAACCGAAGCCUAUCUUGCUCUGUCACUCUUUUAACGAAGGUAGAAGAAGCACAGCAGUUUUCCGGUGACGAACGCCGCGGCAACGAACGCCUAUAUCUUGGUCUUUUAUUCACUGGACUCGGACACAUACAGGGAGACUCUCGAGCGCACAUACGCUCCGGGCUACAUCUCUCUCAAGCCGCUACUCUCGCCAACAACCUAACCUACACAGUGGAGUCGAACAUGAGCCUGGCUCACGCACGCCACGCUCCCGAUCCGUCCCGCGUGCACACACGCACGCCCGACGCGAUCGCCGUGGCUUAUGCCCAACACUCACCCCCCCUAAGCCACAAACUACAGCAGGUGAGUCCAUCGUCGUCGAUGUCGCCAUGGCCGCCACACCGCACCGCUGCGGCCUCCGCCGCGCCGUCGACGUCGUUGUAGCCGCCACCGCCCUGACGUCGCUGCCAAGCCUGCCACCGUGCCGCCGUGCCCUUCGCGCGCAGUCCCCACGUCCCUGCGCUCCCGGCCCGCGCUCCCGCCGUGCACGUACGCGAUCUGCGCAACCAGGUCCAGCGCCUCGACGCGGUCCACUCCCGCGGUCCCGACGCGCCCGACGCGUCCGGUGCGCACCCAUAACAUGCACCGGUUGCGCCCGACUCGCCGCCGUGCUUAUUGCCCUGCACCGUUGCGCCGUCAACCGCAGCGCAGCGCCUCCACGGUGGUCGCGCCGAGCCGCCGCAGCCUCUGCGCCACCACGCAGGUCCUCCGCGGCCUCCUCGUCUUCGCGAUCGCCGCUGCUCGUUGCGCGCACGGCAUCACCGUGCAUGGCCGCGCAUCGCAGCCGACGCAUCCAUGUCCGCCGCGCUCGCCGCGGACGCCGUGGCCGCAGCCUCCAUCUCCGCCGCGCUCGCCGUGCGCACCGCGGACGCGGCCGCACGCCACGGCCGCCCCCCGAACAUGUGGCUCUGAUACCAAUUGUUGUAACCGAAGCCUAUCUUGCUCUCUCACUCUUUGGACGAAGGUAGAAGAAGCACAACAGUUUUCCGGUGAUAAACGCCGCGGCGACGAACGCCUGUAUCUUGGCCUUUUAUUCACUGGACUCGGACACAUACAGGGAGACUCUCGAGCGCACAUACACUCCGGGCUACAUCUCUGGACCGGGUGCACGCCACGCUCCCGAUCCGUCCCGCAUGCACACACGCACGCCCGACGCGAUCGCCGUGGCUUAUGCCCAACACUGUCUUCCCCGCUGCUGGUGUACUCGGCAUCCGGGAUGCGGCUGGCCGGAGCCGCGACGCACAAGUCCGCCAUUUGCCUGGCCUAGUUCGGGGACGGCGACGCCGUGCGUGCCAUGCCGGCGUGUGGCCACGACUUCCCGCGUGCUGCAUCGAGCGCUAGCUCAGCGUCCCCGUCGCCCCUCCUACCCGACCAGUCACGCGCCGGCGGCUGCGCCGCCCUGAUGUACGCCGUGCACGCCCGAGGGCCCUUGGCCAAGAAACCUGCCGCAUUCACUACGCCAGAAUGCAAUCCGUCAAGGAGGGUGACACCGAAGCUCUUUUUGUGAAGCAUAAGCGCCCUAGUCGGACUUGCAGAUCAGAGCCGGCAAAAUCCACCUGCGGCUCUGCCCCAACGUUGGGGCCAUGGCUGGUUGUGCAAACCAACACUGAUGGGCGCUGCCAGCGAUUUUACACCGAAUGGGGCUCGAUUUUUAGUACCGGUCAAGCCGCGCUGCAAGCCUCGCAAACAUUUUCUGGUGAACUUUUAUGAUGAGGUACCAAAUAAUCCGUUGUUUCUUGUGUGCCCAUGCUGCCUGCCCAGGUACCGGGAGCAACAAGUAGUUCAUGGCAGCUCAUGAAGCAUCAUCACAUAGUUUGAAGAACACCUUUUGAAUUCCUAAAUGUAGUGCACAGGAUGAUAGCUUUUGAGUUCUAUCCACCAACGGUAGUUCAGCUGUUGUUUGAGCUAGUAGGUUAUUUCUUUUCGGAGCUCCAGUUUCAUUCUAGUCUGAACAAUUGCCGGAAUGUUGGGAAAGUAAUCUCUUACAUUUGGGACCAUCUAAUCUCAGACCAGAAUUGUUUGAAGCCAAUGAGGCCAAACUAACCUUUCUCAUAUUAAACUCCAGAAAAUUUUGGUAAACAUUCAACAACUCUGAAGGUUUGCAAUCACAUAGAACUGGAUAACCAUAGUUCUUGUCAACUAUUUGAUUCAACUGCCAAGAUUUGAGUCCACAUCUUUCCAUGAAUUGUAUAAUAUAGUUUGACAAAUUGUUUCUGGUUCAUUGCUCAUGGAGAAUAACAGUAGUGUGCAAGAAUUCAGAGUGUUCUCUGUUGGCAAAACUGAAAAUCUCUAGUCUGGACCCUGGGCACUAUCUCACAUAAAUUUCCCCCGACUUCUUCUCUUUGCAUACAUAUGUAAUAAACACACAAACUGAUGUCAAUUUUUAUUCAGAUGAUGCACCAUCUCAGUGGCAAGUUCAGUUGACCAGAGUAGAUACGAGCUCAGAGCAAUCAGUUAUUUCAGGUAGAUUGCAGUUUUAGCUCGCCGUUUCAGUUUACCAAAGUUUUACGAAGUUCAAAAUUCUUGCCUCUCUUUGCUGCUCAUAUUCUGGGCAAGUAAUUUCAGUGCAUUAUUAUUUUCAGAAUGGUUGCUCUUGUAUCCUAAAGUUACUGGUUCAUUUAGGUAGCAGGAAAUUAUAGUGGACAACAUGUCACAUUUACUCCUCUCCAUCCCAAUAUAAUAAAAUUUACAGCUUCAUUUCCCCUUGAAUUUACCUGAUAAAAAGCGAAGAAGACGCUGAUGUCGAACAGGGACAGUGUUCGGUCGCCUAUCUUGUAUGAUAAUCAUCAUCGGCAAGAAAACUGCAAUGAAGUAGUUCCUUUCUAUCUUUGUGUUGUUUAGAGCGUGUGGACUUCCAUUCUUGCCUAACCUUCCUAAAGCAAGGUAAAUUAUGUAUAAGUCGCAUGGUCAAUCCUGCGUAAGUAGCAUGACAAAUUCUGUGUAAAUACAUGGUAAAUUCUGUGUAAAUGGAUUUUUGUCCAGGGAGAGGGGGAAGUUGUUGAAACCCACUGUAAUUUCUGUGUAAAUAUAAUGGUAUUUUACGGAUCACAUACCUGAUAAUAUAUGUGUAAACAUCGUGGUAACUUUGACCCAGUGAAUUUUAUUGUUGUUGAAAACAUAACCGACCUGAUAAUUUCUGUGUAAUAGAAUGAUAUUUACCACACCGUAGAGCUGAUAACUCAUGUACAAAUAUCAUGAUUUGAGCCAGUAAAAAUGUUUAUUGAAAACAUACCCCUCAUAACUUCUAUAAAAAUAUCAUGGUAAUAUAAAAACAACACAGCUGAUAACUCACAUACAAAUACCAUGGUAACUUUGGACUCGGGAAAAAAAGUUGUUGAGUACUAUACCCUCGGUAACUUUUCUGCAAAUAGCAUGGUAAUAUAUGCACCGCAGAUGUAAUAAUUUAUGUACAAGGAUCACGGUAUCUUUUGACCCGGAAGAAAAAAGUUGUUGAAAACAUACCUACAAUGACUUCUGUGUAAAUAGCAUUAACUUACACCAGCAGAAAACAGGGCUUUCGUUCGGGCCUGGCCAGCCCAUUAGUCCCGGUUCCGCACGAACCGGGACCAAUGGGGUGCAUUAGUCCCGGUUCGUGAGCCCAGGGGGCCGGCCGGGCCACGUGGGCCACUGGUCCCGGUUCGUCUAGACCUUAAACCGGGACCAAUGCGCCUCGCCCCUGGCCCAUGACCAUUAGUCCCGGUUUGUGCCACAAACCGGGACUAAAGGAUUGGUCCUCGUUGCGGCCAAAGUUUAGUCCCACCUCGCCAACCGAAGGGCGCUCACACCGGUUUAUAAGCCCGUCCCUCUCUGCCUUGUUGAGCUCCUCUCAAAAUGAAAAUAGAUGCCCUUAUACAGGGAAUUUGACCUAAAUUCAUAGUGAGUUUCUCUGAAAUUCAUAGAAAUUUAUAUGAAUUUAGGUUGAAUUUUCUCUAUAGGCGCAUCUAUGCUCAUUUUUUUAUGUUAGGGUUGGCGAUCUUUACAGACAUUUUGUGUGUUGAAUAUGCACCAUUCAAAAUCAGUCUCUGCUUUGAAUGGUUCAUUUUGAACACACAAAAAGUCAGGAGUUCAAAUAAGUUCAAGAAAAUGAAAUCCCUUUGUAACAGAUGAGUUUUUAUCCGAAACCCUGAUACUUCGAAAGAGAUUGUCCAUUUUGUUCACGAAGUGCAUCCACCUUUUGCCGGGACAACCAUUUUGUUAAUUUUCAGAGUUCAUUUGAAAUGCUUUUCAAUUUUAGGGUCUUAUAGCUCAAAAUAAUUAGUAAAUGCAUGAUAAAUAACAAAUGAAGUCAGAAAGGAUUGAAAAAUGAUGAUGUGGCUUUGAAUGGUGCAUUUUGAACAUAUAAAAAGUCAGGAUUAUUGAAAUAUAAAAGUAGAAACAAAAUAAAAUAAAUUUUAAUAAAAUUUACGAAACUAAAAUUAACAAAGUAUUUUCUGUUCAAAACAUUAUAAGAAACCUCUAGUAUUAUUGAAACUAAAAUCAUAUAAAAUUGAUGCAACUAAAAUUAUCGAAGUAUUUUCUGUUCAAAAUCAUUAAAAGCAAAAAGAACUUUCAUAAAGAACUUUUUUUGAUAGAAACUUUAAUAGCAAAAAGAAUUAUCAUAAAGUAAAAUAAAUAAGUAAUUAGAAACAAAAUAAAAUAAAAUAAAUAAGUAUUUUGUUGUAAGUAGAAACAAAAUAAAAUAAAUAAAGCAAAAUAACAAAAUAACUAGGAAAAAAUAAAAAAAUGCCACCUACUGGGCCACCACGGCCUGAAUACAACUAGAAACCCAUCCAUGGGCCAGGAUUCAGGCCCGCAGAAGGCCCAGCAGGCCCACAGGCAUAGCAGUGCAAGAUUAGGCCCAGAGGCCUGCAGUUCAGAGGAGUUCAAUGGAGAUGGCGGGGCAGGGCUUAUAAACAGGUCAUGCCGCUCCUCGGCUAGCAAGGUGGGACUAAACAUCCUACCACACCGCGGCUUUGGCAGGCGCAGGGCAUUGGUCCCGGUUGGUGCCACGAACCGGGACCAAUGCCCACCUUUGGUCCCGGUUCGUGGCACUAACCGGUACCAAUGCCCACCCUUUAGUCCCAGUUGGUGCCACCAACCGGGACCAAAGCCCUCUGCUUCCCGCCCUUUGGACUGCUGAAAAGAGGCCUUUGGUCCCGGUUGGUGGUACCAACCGGGACCAAAGAGGUGCAUUUGUCCCGGUCCGUGACAAGAACCGGGACUAAAGCUUCAUGUAUAUAAGGCACACUUGUGAAAAUUUUGUUUUGCAUCUUGCAGUUCGCCCCCGACGACGCGCGCGGAGAGGACGCCGCCAGGCUGCCGGACGUCGUCGCCGUCGCCCCCGCCCCGGAGCCCACGCCAACGCCGUCGCCGUCCGNNNNNNNNNNNNNNNNNNNNNNNNNNNNNNNNNNNNNNNNNNNNNNNNNNNNNNNNNNNNNNNNNNNNNNNNNNNNNNNNNNNNNNNNNNNNNNNNNNNNNNNNNNNNNNNNNNNNNNNNNNNNNNNNNNNNNNNNNNNNNNNNNNNNNNNNNNNNNNNNNNNNNNNNNNNNNNNNNNNNNNNNNNNNNNNNNNNNNNNNNNNNNNNNNNNNNNNNNNNNNNNNNNNNNNNNNNNNNNNNNNNNNNNNNNNNNNNNNNNNNNNNNNNNNNNNNNNNNNNNNNNNNNNNNNNNNNNNNNNNNNNNNNNNNNNNNNNNNNNNNNNNNNNNNNNNNNNNNNNNNNNNNNNNNNNNNNNNNNNNNNNNNNNNNNNNNNNNNNNNNNNNNNNNNNNNNNNNNNNNNNNNNNNNNNNNNNNNNNNNNNNNNNNNNNNNNNNNNNNNNNNNNNNNNNNNNNNNNNNNNNNNNNNNNNNNNNNNNNNNNNNNNNNNNNNNNNNNNNNNNNNNNNNNNNNNNNNNNNNNNNNNNNNNNNNNNNNNNNNNNNNNNNNNNNNNNNNNNNNNNNNNNNNNNNNNNNNNNNNNNNNNNNNNNNNNNNNNNNNNNNNNNNNNNNNNNNNNNNNNNNNNNNNNNNNNNNNNNNNNNNNNNNNNNNNNNNNNNNNNNNNAGAUGUUUUUCCACGUAUUUUAGAUAAGUUGAAUUAGAUUUUUUUGUCAAUUUAUGUAUAUAUAUGUGCAUAUUUAGAAAAAAAUUGUGUUGAACUAGUUAAAUAUAAUAGAACUAGUUAAACAAGUUUAUUUUUAGUAAGUGCUUAGUAGUUGAACUAGUUGAUUUAAUAAAACUACUUUAUUUUACUAUAGAAGUAGUUUAUUUUAGUAAGUACUACUUUAUUUUAUUUAUAGUAAGUGCUUAAUUAGUAGUUGAACUAGUUGAUUUAAUAAAACUACUUUAUUUUACUAUAGAAGUAGUUUAUUUUUAGUAAGAACUACUUUAUUUUAUUUAUUUAUAGUAAGUGCUUAGUAGUUGAACUAGUUGAACUACUUUAUUUUAGCAAGAAAAUUAAUAGAACUAGUUUAUUUUUUUAGUUCAAGCAAUUAAUCCCACAUCGACGUCGACGAUGCCUAUCCCGCAUCCUCGUCGUCGACUCGGCGGAGGAGGCCGGCUUGAUAAGAGGGGCCAUGUCCGGGAUUGGGCUCCGCCGGGCUGGUUUUGGGAGGUGCUACCUUCCGGUGGGCGUAGGUUGGUGAGGAGCUAGCUCGUCGUUGACCCGAUCCUUGUUUGGUGGCGGUCGCGUGGGACAGUGACGGUGCCGAGGCUUCCGGACACCGCGGAGGUGGUACGUCACCGUGUCAGCGAGGAGGACCAGCACGUCCGUCGCUACAUGGUUGCAUUGGAGGGCAGGUUUGACUAUACCUGGCAGGUUCUUCAGGGAUCUCACUGGAGCUAUGAUCCUGUGAUGGUUCCGUCCCUUUGGGUGUCCACCGCCCGCGCCGAUACCCGUCGGGCGCUACUGUUCUAGCUGUACUAGCGAUGCUAUAUGUAUGAUAGUAUUCGAGGUGUAUUAGUGAUAAUAUUCGACGAUGUACGGACGCAUGGAGAUGAUGUAGUUUUGCUUAUAAUUGAAUGCAUCCUAAUUUGAAUACUACUUUAUUUUGUGAUUUGAUUUUGCUUAUUGAAUGCUCAAAGUGGAAAACUACUCCUACUUUGAAUGCUAAAAUUGGAGAGCACUAUGCAAGGCAUAUGCAUAUGAUUAGUUGAUAGCUUAUAGGGUUUUUGUUUUCGCAGAAAUCUAGGAGCCCCCGGCCCCUCCAUCAUCCCCGUCGUCGUCCCUGUCACCGCCCCCUCCGACAUCGAGGUGAGACUAGCCAAAUCCUCUUUUAGAAAGAUAAUUAAACGAUAUUUCGGGUUGACUGUAAGUCUGUCGAGUCUCCACCAUAUAUGAGAGGACGAAGAAUCCCGACUGUUGUCGUGGGGGUAGCUUCUCCUUCGUUCCCGUGUGCUAGACAAUUUGGUGUAAUGCACUCGAGAACGAAAGGAGGAGCUACCAUACCAUCACCGGCGGUCGCAAAUGUCAGAGAGGAAUCAGUGAGGGAGAGUUCCACCAUAUAUAUAUGAGAGGACGAAGAAUCCCGACUGUUGUCGUGGGGGUCGCUUCUCCUUUGUUCCCGUGUGCUAGACAUUUUGGUGUAAUGCACUCGGGGACAAAUGGAGGAGCGACCAUCACCAACGGUCGAAUGUAUACACCACGUGAGCUAAGAGUUUUCAAGAAAAGACUCGACAAACCGAUAGUCAACCCGUGAUGAAUAAUAAUGAUCUAACUUAGGUUUUUAGUACAUAUAUUUAAUUAUAGACGUUUAAUAUUUGAAUUAUGAACAUAGGAAAUGUCGUACUCUGACGACGAAAGUCUUCCGGGGGAGUGCGACUGGUGCCACGACGAUCGAGGUCAGUGCGACAGGCCUCACCUGGACGAAGAUCGGGAGGAGACCUUCGAUGUUGAAAUGGUACGCAACGACGACAAGUGUUAUUUUUUCAUAAUUAAGCACAACUUCAACUAUUUCAAUGUGUACUUUUCAUCUUUUACAAUUCGGCUAGCUUAUUCCAUGCCAUGCAAGACGCUACGUCUUGGAGAGGAUGGGUUUUGAAGACCAUGAAAGUAUGGAAACAAAGAAAAUUCACCUAAGGACCCAUCAUGAUAUAGAUUGAAGUAAAUCUGUAUAAUUCUGAGAGCGUAACCCAUUUUGGUUGCAAAAAUUGGGCAGCAUUUUGCAAGAUGUAUGGUUUUGAUGAGGGUAUGCUUGUCACCAUGGAUCUUGGUGAUCCUGACAUCGAGCAAGACAAUAUGGACAUUUGGGUCCUUGUUGAUACGCCUCUAAUUCUACCGCCAUGUGAGUUUCUCAAACAUAGUUAUUAGCUAAUUUAUAUUGUUCAUUUCAAAAUAGUUGACAGCUUAUUUUCAUCGACAGCUUAUUUUGAUUGUUCAAACAAUGUGCGGAACAUGGUAGACAGAACCUACUACACCGAUGGCUCUGAGUUAACUUAUAAUGAGAAAACUCAUCUGGUCGGAUUUUGUACUGAUCUUGAGAAUUACAAUAUCUAUUGUAAAACUCCUCCACAUUAUGGUCAAUAUGUGCCACUAGUGCACGUGUUGAACUACGGUAACUACUAUGGAGAUACCCUGGUAAGAUUUCUUACUAUUACGACAUCCGUGCAUCUUUUGCAUACUUCUAAACUAGUACAUCAUUGCUAACUAUGAAGUUAUUACUAUGUUUUUAACAGAUAAUUCCAGAGGAUUGUGUGCCUCAUUUGAUGUAUCAGAAUGGUAGGCUUGAUGUUUUGAACAUACAACCAGGUCAUCCUACGAAUCUCAACUGUCCAUAUCGGAUUUCUAAAAGAAGUGGAGACAUGCAAAUCAAAGAAUAAAAAAAAUGUAUGGACAGUCGCAAGGAGGUUCUUGGAAGCAAAAGGAAGCGAAGCGCAAGAAUUGGAGACAUGAUGAUCUCCAUUCUCCAUAAUGGAGAGUCAGGGUCUAUAUUGUUUUAUGCUAUUUUACCUUAAAGAGGGUAUUUCGGUCCUACCUAAUACUGAUGAUCAUGUGCUAAGAACAAUUAAGUAGGGUUGGUUUGAUGACUAUGAGGAUGAUGAUCGUAUGACUGGUUAUUAAUAACGAGUAGAAGUUGUAUGAUGAUGAUUAGUAGGACUUGUUAUUAUAUAUGAUGAUGCAUGAUGCGCGCAUGAAGAGUUAUUAUAUAUCAGCGGGUGAAAUGAACAUGGAUUGGAUUGAAGUGAAGGCAACAUGCAUGUGGUGCAUGUCGAAAGUAGUACAAUCCAAACUUGAUCAAGUUAGGAUUAGUAUUACUUUCGACAUGCACCACAUGUUGCCUUCACUUCAAUCUAAGCCAUGUUUAGGCAUAGCAGUACGUAGCGUUGGUAAACCAAGCACGGAGAUAUAAGAGAGGACACUUCUCUCUAAUAGCUAUCUAAUAACAACCUAAAUUAACCCCCAAAACCCCUAAAUCAGCCCCUUUCAAAAAAACAAAAACCUCAGCUCCAGCCAGAUGCUGACGCGUGGAUGCCUAUUGGUCCCGGUUAGUGUCACCAACCGGGACCAAAGGCCCCUGGCCUGGGCUGGCCGCAGCGGCCACGUGGAGGCCCAUCUGUCCCGGUUCGUGUAAGAACCGGGACUAAAGGGUUAGGGCAUUAGUAACGACCCUUUCGUCCCGGUUCAAAAACCGGGACAAAAGGCCCUUACCAACCGGGACAAUAGGCCCUUUUUCUACUAGUGUUACUUUCUGAAGAUCUGAUAACUUGCUUGCGAAUACGAUGAUAACUUUAAUCUGGGGAAAAAGUUGUUGAAAAUAGCAUGGUAAUAAUCGCAUAUCCGAUAACUUACGUGCAAACACCACGGCAACUUUGACCGAAAGAAAAAAUGUUGUUAGAAAACUACCCUCGAUAAGUUAUGUGCAAAUACCAUGGUUAUAUAUGAACCGCAUACCCGAUACCUUACAUACAAACAUCGCGGUAACUUUGAUCAAGAGAGGGAAAAAUUGUUGAAAACAUACCACCUGUAAGUUAUGUAAAAAUAACAUGAUAAUAUACGAUGCACAUACCCGAUAACUCACGUACAAACACCGCAGUAACUUUGACCAAAAGGGGGAAAAGUUGUUGAAAGACAUACCCCUGAUAACUUAUGUGAAAAUAGCACGGUAAUAUACGAACCGCAUACCCGAUAACUUACGUACAAACUCCACGGUUAGUUUGACGAAGACGAAAAAAGUUUUUGAAAAACAUACCGCUUGUAACUUAUGUGAAAAUAACAUGAUAAUAUACAAACCACAUACCCGAUAACUCACGUACAAACACCGCGGUAACUUUGACCAAGAGGAAAAAAAUUGUUGAAAGACAUACCCCGUACUUAUGUGAAAAUAGGACGAUAACUUGCGUACCACAUGCAUGGUAACUUUCGACUCGACAAAAAAGUCGUCAGAACAUACCGAUAAUUUGAUGAAUUUUUUACGGUUUAGUUUUGAAGAUCUGGUCGCGACGAAUCUUUUAUUUGAAAACAGUUUUUUACAUCUGACCGAUAAUUUGAGCUACAAAACAUUUUGAAUUUUCGGAAUAAGUGGAAUCUAGGAUGACAUCAGCGAUUGUCUCUAGUGUAUAUAUUCAUGUGCAUGUGGAGAAGGGUGGGAGAACCAUUUUUAUGCACCCAGUAAUUUAUGUGGAAAUACCACGAUAACUUCCAUAUCACAGGCGUGAUAACUUAUGUAGCCCAGACGUGAUAACUUCUGACCCGAAAAAAUAUUGUCCGAACAUACCAAAAUCGGAUCUAGUUUCGAAUAUCUCGUCACGACUAAUCUUUUAUGUGAAAAUGAUUUUGCAUCUGACCGACGACUUGAGCUACAAAACAUUUUGGAUCUUUUGGAUAAGGAGAAUGUAGAAUGACAUCGGCUUUUUUGUCCUUUAGUGAAACAAUGUAAUUAGAGAAAAUAAUGCAUGUAGAAGGAGACUGAGUCAUCCUAAUGCAUGCAUGCAUGUAAUUAGAGUGAAGGAGUGAUGUAAUUACAAAGAAGGACGGAGGUGUGUGGCAGUUUUGCUACGUGGCACACAUGUGCCAAAUAUCACGGUCCUCUAUUAAAUAUAAAAACAAAUGGAAACAUAUACCUGCAGCUUCACAAAAGCCACAAUGAAUAUAUAAACGUGGAGUGAAGAGGAAAAACGCAGCAUGCAUUUUGUUCCUCUGAACCCCCGAUGCCGAGCUAGCAGAAAUCAGGGAGUAGCUCUUGUCCCGGCGUUCAUCACUCCGGCACCCCACAACACACAAGACAAACAAACGAAAGGCAGCUUCAAAAAGAGAACAAAGAACAAACGGGUGAUAAGACUGUAAAAAUCCACAGGGAGACAGAAAGUGCGCGCCAUAAAUUUAACUCCGCCGCCUCCCUACAGGCUACAGCGUCGCGUUCAAUCCCUGGCGUAUGCCCCUGCACACAUGCCUCUGCAGUGCCCAUGAUCAGUAGCUUCCGGGACGCAACGAUGCUCUGGCUAUAGCGGCCCUGCCGCUGCCGCCGCUGCUGCGACCUGCAAACUCUGCGUGCGUCGAUCAGUCAUCGAGCAUAUGCAUUGUUUUGGAGAAUGGCCGAGGGAGGGUGGCAGUGGCAGGGGAGCCAUAUGCGCGGUAGGGGAAGGAAACAGUGGCGUGAUCGGCCACCAUGGCAGGCGUGCGCGGGCAGGCCGAGCGAGAGCGAGCUCCCGCUGAUGGACUCGCUGCGCGCAACAGAGCGACACUGCUUCGCUCGCCUGCCGGGCCGGGGCUGCCGCAGGACCUCUCUCGAUCGUGGCGUCCAGCCGUCGACCAGUCUAUGCGUUCCGACUUUCUCUGCAUGCACCGCUCGAGCAGCAGUGGCGCUACUGCGCGAGCUAUCGGUAGCGGGCCGCACCUGCACUCACAAGCAGCAAAAGGCUGAGUCGACGGCUCCAAAUCAAAUCCACCUCUAAAUUCUUUCCCCGUAGGGUCCACUCCCAGGACUCGCUGUCCAGAAAAUUAUCGAAGCAAAUACAAAGGUAAAUCUAGCAGAGUCACCGUACGGCUCCAAGUCGCCAUGAUUUAUUUGAAGGCUGUGAGUGUUGAAGAAAUAGGUUUUCGCCCCGCUAUAUAAAUAUAGCAACCAUCCGAUACAACAUUUCAAUCAACGCUGGGGCUAACAGCACAAACACGCCAAAAAAAUACAAGAGAAAAUAAGAGAAAAAAUGCCAACAACGCCGGAUCAACGAAAGCUACGGCACCCCGCGACCGCUGCGCCCACCGAAGAUAACCACCACGCUUCAAAGCCACCGAGUUGCCAUGUACCAAGCACCACCUUCACGAAGGGAUGCGACGAUGACGACGCUGCUGGCCGGACGAAUCCUAGGAUUUCUCACGGUACACGGAGGGUAGUGGGGGGAGAGGGUCACCCGACGCCCUUCAAGAAGGAUGGCGGCGCCCGCAGGCGUCACCGCGUCGGUGCCGGCAAGACCCGAGAUGGAUUUCUCCCGACCCCUCGCGCCCACCACCCAGGACCAGCCUUCGGCUCCACCACACCGCCGCCCACCAACAUGCGCCAACACAGUCACGAGGACACCGCCGUCGUCUCACCACGGCCAACGAAGCGAGGCCGGCCGGAUCCCAAACGAGACACCCGUAGACAAGGACCGGCAACACCGCAGCCACGAGGGAGGGAACAACCUCCACCGGCUUAGGCGGUAGCAGACCGGGCGUAGCAGCAAAGGCACACCAGACCAAAUGUCCGGUCGAGCCCUGAACGGGCCCGUGAAGCUCCGCCGCCAUGCUGCAGCAGUCGCGGCACAGCAGCCGCCGUCCCUGUCGCGAGGAGCUCGCCAGAACCACCGGAGAACAACCCACCGCAGCCCCCCAGCAGGCCCGCCCCGACCUAGAUCGGGCCCGUAGGGCCUAGAUCUGGGCCAGCCGGGCGCCGCCGGCCGCCGCCGCCAAGGGGCAACGCCACCGCACCGCCGCCGUCCAGAUCCGCGCUGGAACGCCGCCGCCAGGACUACACGCCCAAGCCGGGGUCCAGCGACGGGGGAAGAAGGGGGGCCGCCNNNNNNNNNNNNNNNNNNNNNNNNNNNNNNNNNNNNNNNNNNNNNNNNNNNNNNNNNNNNNNNNNNNNNNNNNNNNNNNNNNNNNNNNNNNNNNNNNNNNNNNNNNNNNNNNNNNNNNNNNNNNNNNNNNNNNNNNNNNNNNNNNNNNNNNNNNNNNNNNNNNNNNNNNNNNNNNNNNNNNNNNNNNNNNNNNNNNNNNNNNNNNNNNNNNNNNNNNNNNNNNNNNNNNNNNNNNNNNNNNNNNNNNNNNNNNNNNNNNNNNNNNNNNNNNNNNNNNNNNNNNNNNNNNNNNNNNNNNNNNNNNNNNNNNNNNNNNNNNNNNNNNNNNNNNNNNNNNNNNNNNNNNNNNNNNNNNNNNNNNNNNNNNNNNNNNNNNNNNNNNNNNNNNNNNNNNNNNNNNNNNNNNNNNNNNNCGCCACCGCCGGACUGCGGGGCGCUGCGCGGGCAACGCCCGGCCGCGCCCGCCGGCGACAGCGGCGAGGAGGAGGGGGCGGCGACUCGCGGGGAGGGGGAGGAGAGGGGAGCCGCCCCAGUCACCUCGCUCGGGGAGGGCGACGCGGGGGGGCAAGCUCGGGGGGUCUUGAGUCACUUACAGGUUCCGAAGGCUGUGAGUGUUGGUUUGGAAUGUGCGUCAUUCGCCGACUGCUCGCACCGGAGGAAAAUUCACCUCCCUCCUCAACCUCCCGUGCUGGCCGUGGCAAUUUUGCCGCCAACUUUUCUCUUUUCCACGACCAUAAGAGCAUUUAGAGCCGGAUAUGACAAAUAUGGCCUCUUAAACGCCCGCGGACGCGCCGGUCACGUUUGCGGGCAGUGACCGGGCACUCCUCAAAUCAACAUAACUGCAUCCGGACAUCUCAUAUUAGAUUCUUAAAUCCAUACAAAAGCAUGCAAACUUAAAAACCUACGUACUACGUAGCUAUUCCUCGUCGGAGAUGUCGACAAUCUCUGUGCCCGGCUCCGGGUACAUGGGCGGCAGCUGCAGCUCCGGUCUCCUCCUCCUCUAUCUCCGCGUCGAGUUCGGCGAAUAGCGCGUCGGACGCCGCCUUCUCCUGCCGGAGGAACUGCUGGUUGGCCUCCACAUAGGCCUCAUCCUGGAUGGACUCCUGGAUGUCCUGCUGCUCCACCAUCNNNNNNNNNNNNNNNNNNNNNNNNNNNNNNNNNNNNNNNNNNNNNNNNNNNNNNNNNNNNNNNNNNNNNNNNNNNNNNNNNNNNNNNNNNNNNNNNNNNNNNNNNNNNNNNNNNNNNNNNNNNNNNNNNNNNNNNNNNNNNNNNNNNNNNNNNNNNNNNNNNNNNNNNNNNNNNNNNNNNNNNNNNNNNNNNNNNNNNNNNNNNNNNNNNNNNNNNNNNNNNNNNNNNNNNNNNNNNNNNNNNNNNNNNNNNNNNNNNNNNNNNNNNNNNNNNNNNNNNNNNNNNNNNNNNNNNNNNNNNNNNNNNNNNNNNNNNNNNNNNNNNNNNNNNNNNNNNNNNNNNNNNNNNCUCGUCCUCCUCCGGAUCCGCCACCUCCAUCGGCUCCGACAGCGGCUCUCCCUCUUCCUCCUCCGGUUGUUGCUGCUCCUCCUCCUCCGGCUUCGGCGUGUCCGGAGGCAGCCCGGCAGCGAUGUGGGCAGCGUGCCUUGCCUGGAUCUCCUCUGCGAUCUGCCUCCGGCGCUCCGGCGUGAGCAUAGUGUACAUGGUGAUCAGUCGCCGGACUAUGGCAAUGCCGGAGAGUGUGGGAGAGCGGGGGGAGGAAGCGGACGGGCUCGGGUGACGGCGCGGAGAGGAAGAAAGUGGAUGGGCUAGGGUUGGGGGACGCCGGCCGGCAUAAAUAGCCGGCUUUGGCCUGCCGGUCAGCCCGGGCGUUUGAGGCACCCGUCUGGGUCAGAUUUUCGUGACCGGUCAGUGACCGGGCGGGCCGCCCGGACGUUUGAGGCCAGUUUGGGGCGCCCGGCUGUAGAUGCUCUAAAAAGACAACCUUCGCUCCCUUCUUGCUGCCCACAACAUCCAUUUCCUUUCCCGCUGUUCACAACGUCCACUAUCACCUCCGGUGGACUGGUAUUGUUCUCGAAGGAGGAGAAGCGCUGGAAUAAUUACACCAACCAUUUUGGUAGACAUAAGGAUUUUUGCAAGGAUUGUCGUAUGUCUCCGCAAAAUGGUUAGCAUAAUUUGUACAAUUAGGUAGGAAGAAAACGAUAACUCGAUGGCAAGAUGUGAUGUGUGGAGUGAAAUCGUCGUCGUGCUUGAAACUGUGAGAAGCAGAGCAUCCAUGUGAAACAUGGAUUCAUGGUCCUCGGAAUGGAGUCACCGUCCACGCAAUCAGCACCCCGAAGCUGAAAUUGUCGCUAGAAACGUGUCGCCGCCGCCAGAAUCGCCCCCAAAACUGGCAUCCCGUCGGAAUCAUCCUCGCCCUUGCUGUCGUGCUUGUAGUCAGCCUAGCCCUCACCCUGUGCUUGGGUUAACUGAAUGUUGUUGGUUUAACUGAUUAUAUGUGUAUUGUAUAUCAAGAAAAAAAUAUAUGUCCCACUGAUGAGUGGGUCCCAUGAUACGGAGGUGGUCAUUAUGGAGACUCUGACUUUGCACAUCACCUCGGCAACCUCCAUACCCAUAUGAAGCGUGCUCCAAUGCAAAUGGAGGCCACCAAUAUAGCGACUCUGCUAGAGCUUCUCUAACAUCGUCUUCAUUGCAAUGUAAGCUUAUUUUAUCAAUACAAGUCUCCUUAGUUUUUUUUAACCAUGCAAGAGGCAUGCAUGUGUUAUAUAAAAGAUUCAGUUGUUUGUUAAGUAAACCUUUUCUGUUUUAAAUCUAAGUAAAAUUGUUCUUAAACAUUGCUAACAAGCAUUUUUAUUUUCUAAUGUUGUAAUAAGAGUUUUCUCUAAUGUACUUUCCUACUUUAUUUUGAAUGUUUCUACUGCAUUAUGUGCAUGUACUUUCCUCGUUAUUUUGAACGUUUCUACUGCAUUAUGUGCAUCUUCAUUUUUGCUGGCUAAGAAACUUAUAAACAUUUACUGAAUGUCAAAUAACUCCUGGUUUUGUGAUUAGAACAUCUGCAUUAGGGGAGAGGGGCGGACACUAACCAUUUUUUGAAUAAACUACCCUUUUAAUGGCUUAUAAAGUACUGGUACCAAGAAAAUAUAAACGCAAUGAGUACACAACCAGCAUCUACACGAUUGAGAUACCCAAAACCAAUAUCAACGCACAUACAUCAAGGAUCACCCUGGUAAAGAGCAAAGAUAUACAAGACCUAAGCUAUGGCUAAACGGAUUAAGAGAGAGAGAGAGAGAGAGAGAGAGAGAGAGAGAGAGAGAGAGAGAGAGAGAGAAGGUACAACAACAAUCCACGCCAAGCAGCUAUUGAGCCAACGAAAAAGAUGGAAUCACAUAGUCUGAACAUGGACACAAACAAGCAAACUGGAAACCAUGAACACACUAAGCAAAGCCAGCGAGGGUUGUCCGAACAUCCGUCGAUGCACAAAUGACGCUAGUCAUAAAUCAAUUGGUGAGAAGAGACGGUACCGCCAAAACCCCAGGUCAUCCGCAGCCCGCCAACGAAGGAGGGCGAGCCCCACCAACAAGCGCCCCACCGCCACCGUCAUUGGCACCUGCGCGAGCUUCGUCGAUCACGGCUACUUGCGGCGGCGACAUGGAAGGAAGGGGACAUAUGUGUUGAUGGUGGCGGGCUAGGGCUCCUCCGGGUCGCCAGAUGUGGGUACGCGGGGCGCCUCACACUAGCCUCUUGGGAAAUUAGAGGCAAUGGGUCGGACGCUGCCAUAAGCGGUAGAGCUUGUUAGGGUGUGAUCCCUCUCGAUGGGCAUGGCCUCCUGCAGUGAAAGAGUCCCAUGGAGGCCGCCGGCAUUUCUUUAGACAAAAGCCGCCGGCAUUGCCUCGCAGUGGCCGGCGAUGGCGUCGAUCGGCACCUCGCUAGAAUCGGGCAGCGAGAAGGGUUUGGGAAUGUUGAGGCAAUCACCUCAGCACAAGCCAAACACACGUUUAUACGGGUGGUGCCAGGGAAACCAGGCCAAAACCAAAGUUACAUUCGUUGCCCCGAUCAUGGCACGUAGAACGAGGUUUCGGCUCCCCCUUUUCUCUUCACGAGCUGAGAUCAACAAAUUCCAACACUGGAAAGUCGAGACUUUCUUUGUAUGUGCCGCUUUCCCACGAGGCCAUGAUGACCUUUCCGGCGACGAGGCAGUACGACCCACUCCGACUCCGACCAAAUCAUGGCCUAAUCACACGCAAAUCCGCAACCUUCCAAGCCCUCCCAUCAAUCAAAAUCAUCCUAUAUAGUGCCCUCGUCACCGGCUCACCGCAACACGCCUCCCCUCCCCCAGUUCCACUCCGUUUCCCGAGCACACGCAGCAUCAUUCAUUCAUUCACAGCACAGGAGCGCUAGCUAGCUAGCUCCCUUCGCUUCACGUGUCCAUCUCCAUCCCCGGCCACCAACCGUCGCCAACUUGCCAUGGAGAAGACCUAGCCAGCUCGCGCCUUUUGGUCCUUGGGAGUUGGGAGAGAGAUCCUCCGGAGCUGGCCAAGGCAUGGCAUUGGAGGCCGCGGUGCUCUCCCGCGCUGCUGCUGGUCUCUUCGGUCGCUGCGCCAUGGCCGGGGCGGGAGGAGCUUGGAAUGGUCUCUUCGGUGGGAGCGAAGGGCUGGCGGGCUUGGACGGCGGGGACUGGGACGCCGCCGUCGCGGCGGCGUGCUCGUCGAUGCUGCUGCCUCCAGCUGCGUUCCAGGACCUGGAUAUCUCCGCUACUGCGCCGCAGGAGGAGUCCGGAGGUCGCGGCGAGAUGAGCGCGGCCGGCGUGGGUCAGGACGAUGCUGCGCCGGUGACGGCGGCGGCGACGGGGCGGAGGAAGCGGCGGCGGACGAGGACGGCCAAGAACUCGGAGGAGGUGGAGAGCCAGCGGAUGACCCACAUUGCCGUCGAGCGCAACCGCCGCAAGCAGAUGAACGAGUACCUCGCCGCGCUCCGCUCCCUCAUGCCGCCCUCCUACGCGCUAAGGGUAACCAUUAACAGCCGCCAUUGACCUCCUCAACCCCUUUCCUUGGUUAUUUACGGAGUAGUUGACACUGAAGUGUGCGCUAUUGCUUGGUACUACGUAGGGUGAUCAGGCGUCUAUCGUCGGAGGUGCGAUCAACUUCGUCAAGGAGCUGGAGCAGCUGCUCCAGACCCUGGAGACGCAGAGGCAGACACGGGAACGCGCGGCCGUCGACGGCGGGGAAGCGCAGCCACCGCUGUUCGCCAACUUCUUCACCUUCCCGCAGUACUCAAUGAGCGUUACCUCGGCACCGGCGCCUCCUCCGGCGAACAACGACGAGGGUGCCGACGGCUGCGCCGAGGCGGAGGCGUCCGGAUCAAAGCCGUCGGCGGUGGCGGACGUGGAGGUGACCAUGGUGGAGAGCCACGCCAACCUGCGGAUGCUGUCCCGGCGGCGGCCGAGGCAGCUGCUGCGGCUGCUGGUGGGGCUGCAGGGACACCGGCUCACGGUGCUGCACCUCAACAUGAGCAGCGCCAGCCACAUGGUGCUCUACUCGCUCAGCCUCAAGGUACGUACGCCUACGCCUACACGUUCGCCCCGUACAAGUAAACAACUCCGGCUUUUCUGAUAUGCAUGCAUAUGGCUCUCAGUCCAAGGGGUUUAUGGCAGUACCUCUAUAUCUGGUUAGCAAUAUCAUACCGCUUCAGUCUGAAACAAGCUGGUGCCUAGGUUUCCGUGCUUUUUGUAUUUUGCGUUGUCCCGGACAGCAAACGCCUCCAAAUUCUCCCAGCUGUUUACUUUAAUGGACCUCAGCAAACCUAGCUAAAACGUCCGGCGUGUUUCCAGUUGGAACCGCUGUCUAGUAACUUAAAUUACUGAUGGGAUCGUACGAUGUGAGCUGGGGCUAUAGCCCUAGGCCUAGUAACCAUAUAUAGUCUUUGCAAUUCCUUCUUAAAAAAUACACAAAAUGCAUGGCGUAAUCUGACGCUAGUAAUAUUUGCAGGUGGAGGACGAUUGCCAACUUACCUCCGUGGAUGAGAUCGCCACCGCGGCCCAUCAGAUCAUCGAGAAGAUCCAAGAAGAGCAAGACUUCACUUCAGCUUAGAGUAGCAUGCAUCUUACCUUAUAGUAGUAUUAUUAUGCAAUGCGCAACAUUAGUUAUUCUAGCAAGUGAAGUGACUCGUGUGCAAACCAAUAAAGCUCAUCACUGCCUACUGUUGGAAUAAGCCACGGCGUGUGUGGUCGAGCUCGUCGGGCGCGUCGGAUGCGCGCGGGACGGGCGGGAUACACUGGUGCCGUCGGGCUCGUCGGGUUCGUCUGGCGUGUCGGUGACGCGCGGAAUGGGCGGGACGUGCGGGGCGCAGCGAAAGCAUGGCGAGUGUGCGUGUGUAGCAUGUGUGUGCAUGUAGUGGUAGUCAGUGCAUGCAUUGUUGAUUAGUCCGUGCAUGCAACGGAUAGAUAAGCUACCUACUUGCGUGGGCCGGUCGAGUAAGUUUGUUAGUGCAUGGGUGGAUUAGUUAGCUAGUGGCCGGAAGUGGUGCGUGCAUGCAUGGAUUAGUGGCAAUGGCCGGGCUGAGUUUGUGCUAAGGGAAAAAGGUGUUCGUGCGCCUGGAAACUUGCCGUGUCCUUGUUCUUCCUUCUACUUCCUCCUUCUUCUUCUGUUGAUCUAGUUCAGAGAAAGAGAGAGAGGUGCAGCGUGAGGGAGAGGUAAAGCUAGGGCAUAACCACGGCAACAACAAUUGGUAUACAGAGCUUCGGUUCGGACGAUCACCGGCGACCAUGGCGCUCGUCCCACACGGCGGCGGCGCGGGCGGAUCGCUGACGAUGGCAAUGCCGAUGCUGACCGCGGACAACUACACGGUCUGGGCCAUCAAGGCGCAGGCGAUCCUCGACGUCCACACCGUAUGGGAGGCGGUGGCGCCGGGCGACGCGGCGGUGAACGCGCGGAAGGACAAGAUGGCGCGCGCGUUGCUUCUCGGGGCGUUGCCGGAGGAUGUGCUGCUGCAGGUGUCGACGAAGCUCACCGCCAGGGAGGUAUGGGACUCCCUGAAGGUGAGGUUCAUCGGCGCCGAUCGGGUCCGUGCGGCGAGGCUGGCGACGCUGCGCGGCGAAUUUGACCGCCUAAAGAUGGCGGACGGUGAGGAGCUCGACGUGUACGGCGGGAGGCUCGCGGCGAUGGCGGCGAGGUACGCCAACCUCGGGGAGACGCUGGGCGACGCGGCGCUCGUCAAGAAGCUGCUGGAUACAGUGCCGGAUCGGCUCUUCCCCGUCGUCGCCGGCAUCGAGCAGUUCCACGACGUUACGACGAUGGCGUUCGACGAAGUGCUCGGGCGGCUGCAUGCGUUCGACGAGCGAGUUCGGCGUCGACGGCAGGACAGCGGCGAGUGGGCGGACGGACAGCUCCUGUUCACGGCGGCACAGUGGCGGGCGCGAGAGCGGCAGCAAGGCGGAGCACGGGACGAUGACAACGGGUGCAGCGUGGCGUCGGGGAGCGGCGGCAACAGCUGCAAGCGCUGCUACAAGUGCGGGGAGCACGGGCACUUCCGGCGCGAGUGCCCACAGCUGCGGAAAGGACUGGCGGCGGAGCAGGCUCUCUUGACCGGUGCCAACGUCGACGACAACAGACUCCUCUUGGUCGUGGCUUAGGGGGUGUGUGUUGGAAUAAGCCACGGCGUGUGUGGUCGAGCUCGUCGGGCGCGUCGGAUGCGCGCGGGACGGGCGGGAUACACUGGUGCCGUCGGGCUCGUCGGGUUCGUCUGGCGUGUCGGUGACGCGCGGAAUGGGCGGGACGUGCGGGGCGCAGCGAAAGCAUGGCGAGUGUGCGUGUGUAGCAUGUGUGUGCAUGUAGUGGUAGUCAGUGCAUGCAUUGUUGAUUAGUCCGUGCAUGCAACGGAUAGAUAAGCUACCUACUUGCGUGGGCCGGUCGAGUAAGUUUGUUAGUGCAUGGGUGGAUUAGUUAGCUAGUGGCCGGAAGUGGUGCGUGCAUGCAUGGAUUAGUGGCAAUGGCCGGGCUGAGUUUGUGCUAAGGGAAAAAGGUGUUCGUGCGCCUGGAAACUUGCCGUGUCCUUGUUCUUCCUUCUACUUCCUCCUUCUUCUUCUGUUGAUCUAGUUCAGAGAAAGAGAGAGAGGUGCAGCGUGAGGGAGAGGUAAAGCUAGGGCAUAACCACGGCAACAACACCUACCAGCUUAGUGCUGAAUCCAUGGAUGAAAAAUAACGAAUUUGUUGAUAAAAUGUGCAUCAGUGGUGUUGCAUGUAGAGUAGCCAGCUAGGCAUGUGUUGCUUCUUCGGUUCAAAAUGGGGGGGCAUGCAAUGGAAUACAAUGCUUCCAGACCAGUUGAAAGUUGAAGGCAGAGAACAAUUCCAUGCAUGGUGGACAACUGGCUGGACAUGACAUAUGGCAUUCCUUGUGGCCUACCGUGCUCCAUAGGAUCGGGCACUGUUAUCAGCUGCUCUUUCCUCAACCUCCUCGGUGUAUCCUGUUCCCCCCGUGAAGCGCCAUUUCCUGCCAAAGCACCAGCAGACACCAUCCCCCUUUUAGUUCCAAACGAGUAGCAUGAUUGAUUAGAUCCUUAAUCGGGUAUACCGGAUACCGGAGUAGUGUAGGAGUAUUUCAUAUCUUCAGUGUACAACAAAAGUCCGUUUCUGCAAGGAAGGCGGAGCCUUUUAGAGAAAGCAGCAUAGCACAGGGACACGAACACAGGC
RNAcentral lists this long non-coding RNA (31861 nucleotides) under Triticum aestivum (bread wheat). RNAcentral's name for it is "long non-coding RNA (TAES_LNC008944)". Lineage: Eukaryota; Viridiplantae; Streptophyta; Magnoliopsida; Poales; Poaceae. The record is from RNAcentral.